UCCGUGGGUUCUUCACAGAUUCGAGGUCUCCUCGUCGAAGAGAGCUCGUGGGCACGAGGAAGGGUUGAAAUCUCAAGUUCUCCGAACCCUAGAGGCUUUCUCCUCCGGUUGUAAGUCGAGGGAUUCCGAUAAAGGAAAGGAAAAGAUAUAACAAGGGAGGCGACAAGGCGGUGUGGAUGGUGUGUGAUGCCAGGGCUAUGGAGAGAUCCGGGGAUUUGCUAAGAAUUUAUUAAGACUGUUUCCGUUAAAUUGUUUAAAGAAUUUAGAACUUGUACAUGCUACUCUAUGGAUUGUUUUAUCGUGCUUUACGAAAGUUGAUUAUUUUAA
Molecule: long non-coding RNA, 327 nt
Organism: Zingiber officinale
Lineage: Eukaryota; Viridiplantae; Streptophyta; Magnoliopsida; Zingiberales; Zingiberaceae
Exons: 2
Source: RefSeq, a predicted model, not a curated record